RNAcentral lists this ribosomal RNA (269 nucleotides) under Sphingomonas sp. CFBP 8760. Its description in RNAcentral is "partial 23S ribosomal RNA". It matches the Rfam family "Bacterial large subunit ribosomal RNA", at positions 1 to 195 of the family's 2925-position model. Lineage: Bacteria; Pseudomonadati; Pseudomonadota; Alphaproteobacteria; Sphingomonadales; Sphingomonadaceae. The record is from RNAcentral.
UCUCAAGCGUGAGGUAAGGGCAAUUCGUGGAUGCCUUGGCAUGUACAGGCGAAGAAGGACGUGGCACGCUGCGAUAAGCGUCGGUGAGGUGUGAGCAACCUUUGACCCGACGAUUUCCGAAUGGGGAAACCCACCUAUCCGAUUAAUCCAUAGCUGAGCCGCUCGGCGGCACGCUUCAUGCGUGCUGUCGCGGGGCUCUCUACGGGUUAAUGGGGUCAGGUAUCUUGAGACUGAAUACAUAGGUUUCGAGAAGCGAACCCGGUGAACUG